UAGAUACCCUGGUAGUCCACGCCCUAAACGAUGUCAACUGGUUGUUGGGAAUUUAUUUUCUCAGUAACGAAGCUAACGCGUGAAGUUGACCGCCUGGGGAGUACGGCCGCAAGGUUAAAACUCAAAGGAAUUGACGGGGACCCGCACAAGCGGUGGAUGAUGUUCUUUAAUUCGAUGCAACGCGAAAAACCUUACCCACCUUUGACAUGUAUGGAAUCCUUUAGAGAUGAAGGAGUGCUCGAAAGAGAGC
RNAcentral lists this ribosomal RNA (250 nucleotides) under uncultured bacterium. RNAcentral describes it as "partial 16S ribosomal RNA". It matches the Rfam family "Bacterial small subunit ribosomal RNA", at positions 779 to 1027 of the family's 1533-position model. The record is from RNAcentral.